UUUAUUUUGAAGAUAGUUAAUUAAGAGUGGGAAUUUAAUGAAAAAAACCCUCAACUUUGGCCAGAUCCAUUUUUAAAUCCUGAACUAUGUUUUUAGUAAAACAAACCCUGAACUAAAACCUGUUAAUAAACUUAACCCCACAGUAAUUAAAUAUUAAUGGGAUAUUAAUUUCCAAAAAUCGACCAAAGAACAAUGACAGAAUCCGUGAUCCAACUGAAGAUCGUCCACCUCAAAAAGUUCCUUAUACACGUGAAAAAGUUCAAAUGGUAAAAUAGAGAACAAUGAAUUAUGUUUCACAAGAUCUUCCUUUUCAAAUUAUUUAAUUUAAUCUUUGCAUAUUUAGACUUGCAGCAACUGUCAACAAGUCGGACACAACAAACGUUCAUGCAAGCGUAAAGCAGUGCCAAAACCACCCAAGAAACCUCAAAGACGACCAAGGAAAAAACAGAAAACAAUGGAUGAAGAGAACCCUAUCACUCAGCCAAUACAAUCUUCUCUUCAAAGUUAAUGCUUGACAAGUCUUUACUUUAGAAUAUUUUGUCCCUCUGAAACGAUUGUUUUUUUUUGUGACAAAUAUUGUUGUGUUGCAACAGCUUCGAUAGUUAUGUUGGUUGGAUUUAUUUAAGCAUGACUCUUUGGAUUAUUUUAAGUUGUUGUGUCUUUCUUUCAGCUUCUAAAAUCCAAACUAAUUAAGCAAUUCAAAAUCAUUUAGAACAUUU
RNAcentral lists this small RNA (719 nucleotides) under Arabidopsis thaliana (thale cress). RNAcentral describes it as "ATSL210440". Lineage: Eukaryota; Viridiplantae; Streptophyta; Magnoliopsida; Brassicales; Brassicaceae. The record is from RNAcentral.